GACGAACGCUGGCGGCGUGCCUAACACAUGCAAGUCGAACGGAAAGGCCCUGCUUUUGUGGGGUGCUCGAGUGGCGAACGGGUGAGUAACACGUGAGUAACCUGCCCUUGACUUUGGGAUAACUUCAGGAAACUGGGGCUAAUACCGGAUAGGAGCUCCUGCUGCAUGGUGGGGGUUGGAAAGUUUCGGCGGUUGGGGAUGGACUCGCGGCUUAUCAGCUUGUUGGUGGGGUAGUGGCUUACCAAGGCUUUGACGGGUAGCCGGCCUGAGAGGGUGACCAGCCACAUUGGGACUGAGAUACGGCCCAGACUCCUACGGGAGGCAGCAGUGGGGAAUAUUGCACAAUGGGCGGAAGCCUGAUGCAGCAACGCCGCGUGCGGGAUGACGGCCUUCGGGUUGUAAACCGCUUUCGCCUGUGACGAAGCGUGAGUGACGGUAAUGGGUAAAGAAGCACCGGCUAACUACGUG
RNAcentral lists this ribosomal RNA (468 nucleotides) under uncultured bacterium. RNAcentral's name for it is "partial 16S ribosomal RNA". It matches the Rfam family "Bacterial small subunit ribosomal RNA", at positions 28 to 507 of the family's 1533-position model. The record is from RNAcentral.